AACGCACAUUGCGCCCUUUGGUAUUCCGAAGGGCAUGCCUGUACGAGCGUCAUUAUCACCUCUCAAGCCCUGGCUUGUUGUUGGACUUGGUCGGUCGUGAGACCUAGAUCUGUCCCAAAGACAAUGACGGUGUCCCUUGGACCCUCGGUACAAUGAGCUUUAACCAGCACGUAUCAGAGUGGAAAGGUCCUCGGGCCCGGUCCCCCUUUUUAUUUUUUAAGGUUGACCUCGGAUCAGGUAGGAAUACCCGCUGAACUUAA
Molecule: unclassified non-coding RNA, 260 nt
Filed under: uncultured fungus
Lineage: Eukaryota; Fungi
Description: partial contains 5.8S ribosomal RNA, internal transcribed spacer 2, and large subunit ribosomal RNA
Rfam family: 5.8S ribosomal RNA (bases 1-52)
Source: RNAcentral